This is a non-coding RNA of Phrynosoma platyrhinos (Desert horned lizard), 66 nucleotides long. The record is from the annotation of a GenBank genome assembly. Lineage: Eukaryota; Metazoa; Chordata; Lepidosauria; Squamata; Phrynosomatidae.
GCCAGUGUGGCAUUUGAGUGUUGGACUAGGACUCUGAAGACCAGGGUUCAAUUCCCAGCUCUGCCA